RNAcentral lists this ribosomal RNA (418 nucleotides) under uncultured bacterium. Its description in RNAcentral is "bacterial SSU rRNA". It matches the Rfam family "Bacterial small subunit ribosomal RNA", at positions 355 to 786 of the family's 1533-position model. The record is from RNAcentral.
UGGGAAGUCUUGGACAAUGGGCGCAAGCCUGAUCCAGCGACGCCGCGUGGGUGACGAAGGCCUUCGGGUUGUAAAAGCCCUUUUCCCGGGGUCAGCGAUGGUGACGGUACCCGGGAAUGAAGCACCGGCUAACUCCGUGCCAGCAGCCGCGGUAAGACGGAGGGUGCUAGCGUUAUCCGGAAUUAUUGGGCGUAAAGAGCUCGUAGGCGGUUUGUCGCGUCUGCCGUGAAAGUCCGGGGCUCAACUCCGGAUCUGCGGUGGGUACGGGCAGACUAGAGUGAUGUAGGGGAGACUGGAAUUCCUGGUGUAGCGGUGAAAUGCGCAGAUAUCAGGAGGAACACCGAUGGCGAAGGCAGGUCUCUGGGCAUUAACUGACGCUGAGGAGCGAAAGCAUGGGGAGCGAACAGGAUUAGAUACC